Molecule: long non-coding RNA, 1159 nt
Organism: Mesocricetus auratus (golden hamster)
Lineage: Eukaryota; Metazoa; Chordata; Mammalia; Rodentia; Cricetidae
Exons: 5
Source: RefSeq, a predicted model, not a curated record
AGAGGGGUAGGGUCUACAAUGCUGGGGAUAGCUGGUGGCAGGCAAACAAGGAGGCUGGAGUUAGAAGCUGAAAGCUCACAUCUAGAAACAACCACAAAACAGGGAGCAGAGAACACACCUGAAAUGGUGCCAGUCUUUCCUCAAGCUCCCAGUGUCUUCCUGAACAGGACUACCAUGUACUCAGUGACUAGAAUAUGGGGAGCACCUCAUUCAAACUGUCAUGUCAUUGUCUUAUUUUCUUUGAGACAGAGUCUCGCUGUGUAGCCCUGGCUGGCCUGGAACUUGCUGUAUAGACCAGCCUGGCCUCAGACUCACAGAGCUCUGCCUCUCUUUGUCUCUUAAGUGCUGGAAUUAAAGGUUUGUACAUUGGGCUGCUCAAGUGCACGUGAAAUGUUUCCUGCUGCACCCCAAACUCCUUUUCAUACUUAGAGCAGAGCCAAGCACUAUUCUGCCGAUGACAGUCCUUUGCAUUCCUUCCUUGGAGCAGUUCAUUACCUGUGCCUAUUAGCCCAGAAUGACAUGCUUGUGUUUAACUGGUUAAGAUGAUACUAUAUUUCCUUCGAUGUGGACAGUGAAACACACAGGAGGGAAUGCCAUGUGAAGAGAGGAGGCAGGCAGUGGAUUGGUGAAGAUGUCAGACAAGGAACAAUGGUUGCUGGCAAUGGCAGGACCAUGGGAGACCUGGGGGAGAUUUACCCAGAAUCUCCAUGGGAUGAGGUGUCUUGCCUAUAUAUAUGCUUGUGUACCAUGUGGGUGUCUGGUGCCCUCAGAAGCCAGAAAGGCAUGAGAUCCCUGGAACUGGAGUUACAGAUGGCUGUUAGUUGCCAUGUAUGUUCACCACGUGUGUGCCUGAUGCCCACAGAGGCCAGAAGAUGUUAGAUCCCCUUUGGCGAGUGUUACAGACAAUGGUGAGCCACCACCUCGGUACUGAGAACUGAACCCAGGUCCUCUUCAAGAGCAGCAAGUGCUCUUAACUCCUGACCCACCUCCCCAGUCCUUAUUUUUGUGUGUUUUGGGUUUUCAUUUGUUUGUUUUCAUUGAGACAGGGUCUCGUUGUGUAGAGUUGGUUGAUCUGGAAAGCUUUAUAAAAAUCAAGAUGGCCUUAUCCUCAGAGAAAUCCAACUAUCUCUGCCUUUGGAGUGAUGGGAUUAAAGGCAUU